UCGAGAUAAUACCUGCCACGAUGUCGUCGGGGACAAGAAUCGGCUCCUCCUGCACCUGAGUGGCAAAAACCCGCCCACUCGGUGCCCUCAAUGCUUCCGGCUGACGCGAAGAAGAUGAACGUCCAGCCGACAUAGCCGGUGGUAACCCCGCCUGCUGUCUCGGGGUAUAAGGAACUGAUGCCGAGGUAGGUGCAGAAGAACCCCAGCUCUGGCAUUCCCACGACAUGUGCCCGGGCUGGCCACACCUGAAGCACUUUCCCUCGCGCUGCGGGCAUACCGGCGGUCGAUGAUCGCCACCGCAAAUGACACAACGGAACGGCCUGCCACUCCUCGACUGCUGUCAGGGAUACCGAGGGGGCUUCUUUGCAUUUGACCGGCCCCCGGCACCGCCCGCCGCCCGCUUCUUCCCCUUGUCCCUUGACUCCGCCAUUGCCUCGCGCUCCUCUCGCACGUGGGCGCUGCCGUGCUCGGCCCACAGGGCUCAAUGAAAGACCUCCGCAAAGGUCGUCAACUUGAGGAUUUGCACCCUCUCGUAGAUCCUCGGCUGGAGUCCUCGUAAGAACCAGUCAGCCCGGUCCCGGUCGUCACGAACAACCUCCGGGACGCAGUCGAUAAGGUGGGAGAACUCCUGCUCGUAAUCUGCCACGGAGCGGUCCCCUCUGUCGCAACUUGCGGAAUUUCUCUUGCAACUUCCGCUUCACCGUAUCGGGGAAGUAAUUGGCAAACACCGUGUAACACACUGGACCUUUGCAAAUUGCAAGGUUCGAGUGUUUGGAUGUAUUUCGAGCUUUUCCACACUUGGUGGAGGGUUGUAGAAUGUUUUCCGACCUAAAAGUUCGAAAACUGGAAUUUUGGAUAAGUCCUGAGAGUUUUUACUCUCGGGGACCGGUCCCUGGAAGGAGAGACCGGUCCCCCAGUGAGCAGUGUUGAGGCAGCCUGAGGCAACCGGUCCCUGGCAGGCGAGACCGGUCCCCGAGCGCGUCUUCGCAGUGAGAGACCGGUCCCGCGCAGGGAGAGACUGGUUCCCGAACGCUGGUUUUUCGGGUUCGCAGCGAGAGACCGGUCCCUGCUGGGGAGAGACCGGUCCCUCUGGGCGAAAACUGCCCAGACCGGGCUGAUGCAAUAUUGGAUUUUUGAGGGGCCUGGUUGGAUUUUGUUACAUUAGAUGGGCUUAUUAGCCAUUUCCUCCUCUCCCCUCUCUCAUUUUCUCAUUCUCAUCCUCUCCCUACACUUCCUAGAGAGAGAAGAAGAAGAAGAAGGAGGAGAAGAAGGAGAGGAGCUAGCUUGAGGGAGCUUGGAGCUCAACCCCAUUCUCUCUUUUCCACCUUUGCAAGGCUUGGAGCUUGCUUGUAGAGCUUGGUGGUGGGCCAAUCUUCAACCCUAGAAGAUUUGGAGCUUGUUUGGAGGCAUCUUGGGAUGUUAGUACUUGGAUUCUACCCUUUGAUCCUUGAUUUGGUAGGUUUUCACCAUUUGGAACCCUAGAAUAGGUAUUAGGGUUGAUUUUUGUGGCUUUUUGAUCUAGGCCUUUUGAGGCUAAAUUGAUUGGUUUAGAACCUUCCUUGGGCUUGGUUUCGAAGGGUUCUAGCUCUCUUUUGGAGCUUUAGAAGAGAUUUCUUCUCUUGAGGUGAAUUUUGGCCUUUUUGCUUCUAGAUUGAUGUUUGAUCUUAUGGUUGGUUGUAAUGCCCUCGUAUCUCUUCGCUGAUCAUUUUUAGGGUAUCUUGAGGCUCGUGGACAACUCCGUUCGUCGGAUCGAAGGAGCACGCGACGGUUCGGUGGGUUUGACCUAGCAUACAAUAUGAGAAAUGCUCAUAUUUGGUGUUAAAUGUUUCGUAAAGUUGAAAUUCUUGCAUUUUCAUGUUAAAUAUAUUUAUUCUGAAUUUUAAAAUGCUUAACAUGCAUAGAUUAUGUGUAGUAAAUUUUGGGACCUCUAUAUAGUAGAGAGCAUGCAUGUGUGGCCUAGCAUUCUAGUUGAGACUUGAAAUUAUAAUCCCUAUUAUGAAAACGAACCUUGCUUUCAUGCAUUCAAACUAUAUACCAGAUGUGACAUUAGGAAUUUUUGGAAGCCUAGAGAGGCUUAGGGACUUAGAUGAUAUGUGAGAUUGGGCCAACGUCAUGAAGAGGCAUUGGGGCCCGUGGCAUAGUGAGCAUUAAUGUUAAUGUCUUAAUUGGAACAUGAUUAGUUGUGGAGCUUAAGUGUCAUAAAGAGGCACUAAGCAAGUGUGUGUUCGGACUUCACAUUAUGACUUUGAACUAGACCUUCGGGAUGCUAGCGACUAUACCAUGUUAGAGACAUGAGGAUUGGGUACUUGAGACAGUGACCUUGCUUGUUUGCCAUUUGUGCUCAUUCGCACAUGCUUGUGAGGGUCGCUCCCCACAAGCCGGUACUCCGGAGUUGGCCUUUGCGACUUUUGUUCGCUCGUGCGGUAUUGAGACGCCUACGGGGUCGAGUAGGACAGACACAUUCCAUGGGUAGGAAUGUCGGGCUACCACAGGCACUUAGGCUGCACAAGCCGGACUACCUUGGGUAGAUCCUUAAUUGGAAAUGAAAAUCGAUACGGUUUGAGAAUGAAUGAUCACUACUAGAUAGGCUUAGUAGAUGGAUUACAUUUACAUGCUUUUGGCAUAGUGUGAGACAUGUAUACUUGGUUGCCAUGAUAGAACUUCUACAUCAUGCAUUGACAAAGGUUAACAACAUUAAACUAGUGCCAUUGGACUUAAUUGUAAUGAUAGAUAGAUGUACAUUUUGGUCGACAUCAUGCUUACUUGAGACACAGUAGACUAGCAUUUCAAUUAUGCUUUCUUUCAGCAGUUUAUUUACAUGCUCCUUAUUGCUUAUUAUUAUUAUCGUUGCUUACCCUUAUUUUUGGGGCCUAGUGGAGCAUGAGCUGAGGUCAGUAAUUGCCCACUGGGAACUAUAAAUUAUAGUUCUCACGCCCUCUUUCUCUCGAUGUUUUUCAGAGCCUUCCACGCAGGGAGAGGCCAGGGAUCGCGGAAAGGGUAUCGCCUCGGGCUAGCGUGCUUACCGAGGGAUCGUUCGAUAGGUGGUCUACCUCUCGUGUUUUCUUUUUGUGAGAGGUUGAGAGUUGUACCCGUAUAUGUAUAGAGACCGCCAUUUUUGUACUAGAAGCAGAUAUUGUACUACGUAUGUUUCACUUUUAUGGUUUAGUUAUGCUCUUUUCCUAUUGUUAUAGAAGAUAGAAUCAUGCUGCUCUGAUAUCACUAGUUGUUGCUCAUUCGUUUCUAUUACUCCUCGCUUUUACUUCCGCUUUUACUCUAGACGCCUUAUAUGUGUAGACAUAUAGCGGGUCUGGACACGCUACCGGGAGGGCCUCGGCCGGUCCCGGGGCGUGACACACCGCCCUCCGGAACUCCCCCCACAUCAUAGGCGAAAGAUCGGGCGAUCGAUCCCGCCUAACACGCUUCCACCACACCUUCGCCGCCUUCUUGAGGCAAUGUGUGGCAAGGUACACCUUAUCCCUAUCCAAGGUGUUAAGAUCCUCAAAGAGUGUCUCCAUGGAGUCGAUCCAUGACUCCACGAUCGCCGGCUCCACCACUCCACCUUCGAAGGUAGGUGGGUUAAACUUCUGAAACUGAAUGAGAGCUGCCAAUGUGCGCUCCCGCUCCGCCUCCUCCGCCGCACUAUCGGGAUUUGAAGUCCUCGAUCCCGCCGGCACCAUCGUAACUGGCACGGCCGCUGCGGCCCCACCCUCGGCCGCACUCGGCACCACAGCAGGAGGCGCAGGGUGCACGGCCUCCCCGGGUGCCGCCGCCGCCGCCGCCUGUUGCCGCUCCAAAGCCUCCUGGAGCCUCUGGAUCUGCUCCCCUUGGCGCUGAACGGACUCCGCCUGCUGCCGCACUACGCCAAUAAGCGCGGCCAUUUGCUCCCGAAGCUCCCCGUCGCCACCUGCUCUGGGUUGCACGGGAGCCGCAUUUGGCUCCUCGGCCAUAGACCUCGUCCGCGGUCGACCACGAGGCAACUUAGGUCGUCCACGAGGCGGCAUCACUUCCUGAAAUGAAGCAAUUCACGUUAGUUACUCAGACAAUAUACUCGAUUAAACCCAAUCCGGCGAAAGCAUACCAGUGCAUUUAUUUUCCUUCCAAAGCAUCAUGUCGUCGGCCGCCGAUCACAACACAAAGGAAAGAAAACAAAUAACAACUUUAAGUUAGCCUCUAACCACAUUAGAGACUUAUUAGCAUUAACCGAAUCAUAAGCUUUCGCUAUAAUUGUUCAUCGUCACUCACGUUUCCUAGAUCCUUAAGGUCUUUCCAUUCCUAAGGGUCUCUAGGUCCAUCCUAUGCUUUCACCUUUGGCUCUUUUACGCUCUGAUACCAUCUUAUCUGUCACGCUCCGAGCCCGAUCCCUUUUGGUCGGUUCGAGAGCGUCAAACAGACACCGAACGGACAGAGCUUCCCCCGUCCGCCCAAGGCUCAACACAAGUAUCAAUAGAGUGCAAUUUGCAUAAGCGGAAGCAUACACAAUGGCUUGCACGAGGGCAAGCAAUAGCCAAGGUGAAAGAAUUAACCAUUCAGUAUACAAGUAAUAUGACUAAAUUUAAAUCACAUACAUGUAUCCAACUAUAAUCAAGUUCUGUCACAUUCUUGCAUCAUUUCUUUAUACAUCUCAUUUCUCCCAAAAUAUAACUUUUGACAUUUAAGGUAAAUAUCCUUCACAUCAUUCAUUAAAGCAAGUUCAUAAUACUAAAAUCAUCAAAUACAAAAGAUGAUAGUAAAGGAUAUGCAACGACAAAAUGGAAUCCAUCUCGGGCGGUCUCUACCUAGGGCGCGAUGCCCUUACCGCGAUCAUCUGCCAGCUCGCUCGGUCCCGGCUCUGUGGAAAUAGUGGGGUGAGAACUACAACAAAGUUCCCAGUGGGUUCGGCAACCAACCACGCCGACUAUCCCACUAGGUCUAAUCAGGCAUAAUAGAAGAAAUGAUAGAUAAUAACCAACUAACAAAUGCAGCUAAUAUGCCUGAACAAUAAAUAAAACUAUGCUCGAUAGAAUGCUCAUGAUGAAUGCAAGAUUAACUUUUCAUUACCCAAUCUCAUGGCUAGCCCGUAGGUUUCGCCCUCACAAACUCACCAACCCAAAUCCCUAUUGUCGGGGAGAUAACCGCUACAACCCGACGGGACCGCCCUCUGGGGAGAUAACCGCUACGACCCAGUGAUGACAACUCCGGAGCACAUCGCCCGAGGGGGAGCUACCGCCCUCGAGCAAGGACUAUUAGGUGAGUACGAUCAAUCCUUAACUUUAAGGAUUUUAAGUUCAAUCCAUUCCUUGACUUCAAGGAGAACCAUGUACAUAUGACCCUUAAUUCUAAGGUGUUUAUGUCAUAAUGUCACUACUUGUUCUUGUUCUUUGUCAAUGAUGCCACACUUGUUUUCUAAGUCCUCUAGACUCAUCAAUGUCACUUGCUAAAUCUAUGUCAACAUGUCACAUUUGUUUACUAACCCUUCUAGGUUCUUGUCCCUUGUCAUGCAUAUAUAGGGUUACCAAUUCUCAUUCAUUUACUACUAUUUCUCAAGCAUUAGAACUCAUAUCAUGCAAAGAAAAUUUACAAUUAACCCUACUAUGCAACAUGCUCAAUAUAAAUACAUAUGCUCAAAUAUGACGCUUUAGACAUAAAGGGAUUUCCGAUGUCCUUGGAAUGCACCACCCACCUUAGAUGGUCACAAGGAUGCUACGGUGAAUUUCUUGGAAUUUUUGAAGCCCUAGUCCGCGUGCUGCGGCUAUCUGUACGGAAAAUGACGUUUUUGUUAAUAACUUUGCGUACACUCGUCGGAUUGUCGAACCGAGCGUUCCAACGCGUUUAAAAUACCCUCAAUUAGGUUUCUACAUGAUCAAAAUAGAUCAAAACCCAACUUGGGCAAAACCCCUCUUUGGGAUGCCCUAACAUGUUAUUUUUGCAUUUCUCCGAGAUUGAUCUCAUUCCUAAGCAAAAGAUAGCUUAGAUUCACAUGGGAAGCUCUCUAAUAAGGUUUCUAAGCUUUUAGAACCAUCCCUAGGGCAUCUACUUCGAGCCCUAGAGAUCCACCAUGAGAGGGGUCCAAGACAACCAUGGAUUUCAUGGUUUCAAGGUCCCUAGAGGGUUUCCUCACUUGUAGAGAGAUCAAAACCCAAAAAUCUAAGGUCUAAACCCAAACCCUAAACUCAUUUUUGCAUAAGGACUCACCUUUGCCCAAGCUCCACCCAAGCCUUCUUGUUGGAGAGCUUCUAGAGCCACCCAAGCCUCCAAAUCCACCUUCUCCAAGCUUUUCUCCUUCUUCUCCAAGCCCUAGCCCAAGCUUUUAGAGAGGGAAAGAGAGGAAAUGAGAGGGAGAGGAGAGGAGAUGGGUUUUGCUGUGAAAAUGGGAGAGGAAUAGGCCAAAUAACAUGUUGUGACAUUUGCAAUUAGGCCCCUCAACUUAAUUCUGUAGCAGACUUCACCCCUGCUGCCAGAGCCCCUGUGUACCGGUACACGGAUUUGUGUACCAAUACGGAUUUGUGUACGGGUCUGCGCAGAAGCCGAAACCCGAGAGCAGACCCUCUCGGUUGCGCAGUUUGUGUACCGGUACACGGGUCCCGUACCGGUACACCUUCGCGCAGACUCAAACCCGAGAGCAACUAGUGCUCGGGUUGCUUGCUGUACCGGUACAGCCAUCAUGGCGUACCGGUACACAAUGCUCCAGAUUUCAGGUUUGGCUCCGAUUCGACUCUACUCCGCGCCGAUCGAUGCCAAACACAUACUAAUACCUCUUUAACUCAUUUUUGCCCUUCCAACGUGUUGGAAUGCAAAAUGGAACUCACCAAUACAUUUCUCUCGACACUUUAACCAAUUUGAUUAAGGUUCGAUUAUCGUUUUCGGGUUUCAAUACGUUACAAAGCAUCACGAGUAAAGCAUACAAGUGAAAGAAAGAGAGAUACUUAACUAUUCUAUUACAUCCAUUCAACUUAAUACAUUUAAGUACAACCUGCAUUCUUCCAAACCUGUACAAUAUAUAUACAAUCCUCUCAAAACCUCACCCUAUACAUCAAUCUACUCUCAAAAUAGGUACAGGGCAACUCUAGUGCAAAUAGGAAAGCAAACCUCUACUAACACCCCUAGGGCGCAACGCCCUUGCCGCGAUCCUCACAGGGGGCGCUCGAGCUCGAACCUGCAACAUGGUGGAGUGAGAACUACGAAUAGUUCCCAGUGGGUUCGGCCGCCGACUCCGCUGAUCUCCCCACUAGGUCUAAGCAGGCACAGAUAGAUAUGCAGAUAGAUAGGUAUAUGGAAUUGAAAGCUCUAGCAAUAAUAAGCAGCUAUGAACUAAGAUCUAUGUAAUACACUGAACAUUUGCGAAUUGCGAAGUUCGAGUGUGAGGAAGGAUGUGUGGAUCUAUAUUACAUGUUCUAAAUGACUUGGAUAAGUUUUUGAAUAAUUUAGAGGGUGAUUGGAGGGUUAAAAGCGAGAAAGUGCAUUGAACGGACGAAAUCAGCAUUUUUUUUUUGCUUGCUGUACCGGUACAGCCAUCACCUUGUACCGGUACAGACUGGCAAAAAUGUGGCAGCAAGGGUCUUUUGGUCAUUUCACCUCUUGUUCUUAUCUAUUUCAGUCCAGCACGACCAGGGAUGCUUGUUGGAGCGUGCUAGAGCUCAGAGGAGCUGCUCUACACCUUUCUCUCUCUCUCUCUCUCUAGGAUUUUUCUCUCUCUACAAAGGAGUCGCCGUUUUGCGCCGAUUUCGCGUCCCGCUCGACGCUUGCUGGUUGGGUGGACUUGGGGCCAGCUUUUAAAAGGUAAAGUGAAGUGUUUUUAGCAGUGUUAUUCAUGUUUAUGGCUAGGAGUUGCUGAAAGAAUGCUUUAGAGAGAGAAUUAACUUGAUUUCUCUCUAAUUCAUGGUUUAGUGUCGAAUUUUGAGCCGUUUUGGGGCUGUUACUCCUAGCUGAUUGGAGAGGGAUUACAGCAGCUAAAGAGGAGUUCCUCAGCUGUGAUUUAGCCAUCUUAGACCAGGGAUAAACUACUCCAAGGCUGGACCAAGGUAAUUGAGGGUGUAUGAAGCUAUUUCGCAUUUAUACGAAGUUUAUUUGAAUAACUUAAUGCAGUUUGGAUUGUGCUCUUCGCAGCAGGUUUGCGGAUUAAUUUAAGCUUAAUUGGUAACCUUGGAGAUUGGUUAGAAGGUGUUCUAGCCUGAGGUAAGCAGGAAUUUUAGUUAGAAAACUAAAAUCGUAAGAUUCCGACUAUAGUUAUUAAUAUUUGACGACUUUGAUGUCGUUUUGGAAAUUGUUCGCAGCGGGCUUGCGACGGACUUUCGAAGUAUCUCCGGCUGAUGCGUGAAGGCUUUUAGAAGCUUAACUUGAGGUAUUAACUGAGCCAAAAUAGGAAUUUAAGCUGUUGCUUUGUACUAAGUACAAUGUGUGCUGAAAUUGGAUAUUUUGGUCGUAGUUUGAUGCGCCUUCCGUGUUUCGUUUUCAGCAGAGUUCGGGCUCCGUUGAGCAGCGUUUCGGGACUUCUUUUGGCUGGAUUGAGCUUGGUGAUAGGUGGGUCGGACCUUCCCGAAAUGGGUGAAUUCCCUCUAUGUCUCCUUUGACAUUUGAGUUGAAGUUAUUUCAUAUUUAUGUGAAUAUAUGUAUAGUUUAAGGCAUUGAGACAUGCACUGAUAUGUAGAUCAUAUCGGAAAUGAUAGCAUCUUUAAAUGGUAAUGAAAGAUUCAUGACUUGUCCAUUCUACAUGGUUACCUGUUAAGUACUAUGGAUUCAUGAUACUAGUAGCUUGCAUAUGCAAUUUGGCUUGAUGUUAUCCACGAGGAUAGGAUGGUAAAUUCGUGAAUGGACCAAUUAGUUCUGUUGAACAACAAAGAGACUGAUAUACUUAGGAUUGAGCUAUGCAAUGUUAUACAACAAGUGUAAUGGCUAAACUCUGAAAGAUCAGGUAAAGGCUUGUGUUUGUAUAUGCAUUCCUAAUUGUAGAAUGAAUGGCAUGGAGAUCAUGUGAAAAGUAUUUUAUCGUUUAUAUUCCUUGCUNAAUGCCAAAAUCAUCGGCACUACCGCUCUCAACUUUCCCGCGCACCUUUUGGAGAUAUUCAUCUGAAGUUUGCAACUCUUUAAUCUUCUCCAAUAGCGUCGGUUGAACAACGAACGCUGCAAGUGUCGCCGGUACUCCCGGUGCUACCACCUCCAAUCCAAGCCGUUGCAUCUCCUUUUGUAGUAAUGAUUGGGGUGUAAUUGCCGAAAUCAGAUUUUCCCCCGAUUUUCUACUAAGUGCAUCGGCCACGACAUUCGCCUUCCCGGGGUGGUAUAGAAUAGUAACACCAUAGUCUUUUAACAAUUCUAACCACCGCCGUUGUCGCAUAUUUAACUCCUUUUGGGUGAACAGGUACUUAAGACUUUUGUGAUCUGUAUAGAUCUCAUAGUGUUCCCCGUAUAAGUAAUGCCUCCAUAGCUUUAGCGCAAAAAUAACCGCCACGAGCUCAAGGUCAUGAAUCGGGUAGUUCUUCUCAUAAGUCUUCAAUUGGCGUGAAGCAUAAGCUAGAACCCGCCCAUUUUGCAUCAAGACACACCCGAGUCCCACGUAGGAAGCAUCACUAUAUACCACAAAGGUCUCCCCCGGCGUCGGUAGAGCAAGCACCGGGGUCGUAGUCAAUCUUUCCUUUAACUCCUCGAAGCUCCGCUCGCAUUCGGGGCUCCAAACAUACUUCACCCCUUUGUAUGUGAGGCGCGUUAGUGGAGUAGUUAUUUUAGCAAACCCCUCCACGAACCGCCGGUAGUAGCCCGCUAGCCCAAGGAAACUGCAGACCUCCGAUACACUCGUCGGGCGAGGCCAAUCCUUAAUUGCCUCCACUUUCCUCAGAUCCACCGAGAUACCAUCGCCCGAAAUUACAUGACCAAGGAAAGUAACCUCCGAUAGCCAAAAGUCGCAUUUCUUCAACUUGGCAUAUAACUUCUCUUUUCGGAGUAUCUCCAACACGGUCCUCAAGUGUCCUCGUGUUCUUCCUCGGUCCGAGAAUAUACCAAUACGUCGUCAAUGAAUACCACGACGCACCGGUCCAACAGCGGACGGAAGACUCUAUUCAUUAAGCCAUGAACGCCGCCGGGGCGUUAGUGAGUCCAAACGGCAUCACCGUGAACUCAUAAUGGCCAUACCGCGUACGGUACGCCGUCUUGUGCACAUCCUCGGGCCGUAUCUUCAACUGAUGAUACCCCGAUUGAAGAUCAAUCUUUGAAUAUACCCUUGACCCCUGCAACUGGUCAAAUAAGUCAUCAAUCCUCAGUAGCGGGUACUUAUUCUUCACAGUGACUUUGUUCAACUCGCGGUAAUCCACGCAGAGUCGAAGGGUGCCGUCCUUCUUCUUAACGAAUAGCACCGGAGCUCCCCAGGGUGACACACUCGGCCUCACAAAGCCUUUGUCGAGCAAGUCUUGCAAUUGCGCCUUAAGCUCCUUUAGCUCCGCCGGUGCCAUUCUAUACGGAGCCUUCGAGAUUGGCGCCGCCCCCGGGACCAAGUCAAUAACGAACUCGAUCUCCCGGUCCGGUGGCAAUCCCGGUAACUCCGCCGGAAAUACAUCCGGAAAUUCGCACACCACCCGAAUGCCUCCCAAAUCCGGGUGCUCUUUUUGGGCUUCCACCAUUGUCGCCAAGUAGGCCACACAACCACCUUUUAUCAUUUUCCUCGCCCGUGCCGCCGACACGGUCGCCGCGAAAAGCGAGCUUUUAGCUGCCUGAUACACUAGCUCCUCUCGAUCAGGCUCGCGAAACGUGAUCACCUUACUUUCGCAAUCUAUCACGGCAUAAUACUUGGAGAGCCAGUUGGUCCCCAAGAUCACGUCGAAACCCCACAUUCGGUUUAGCACCAACAGAUCAAUCGGCAUGACCCAGUCACCUAUCUGCACUGGGCACGCUACACAUUCUUCGUGAACAUGAAAAGUAUGCUUGACCGAAUUUACCGUCCAAUAGUCAUAAUGGUGCACGAUCUUAAUGCCAUGAGUCCUAGCGAAUGAUGCAUCUAUGAAUGAAUGCGAUGCACCUGUGUCGAAUAAAGCUCUAGCUCUGGUGCCUCUGAUCGAAAUAAUACCUGCCACGAUGUCGUCGGGAACAGGAAUCGGCUCCUCCUGCACCUGAGUGGCAAAAACCCGCCCACUCGGUGCCCUCGAUGCCUCCGGCUGACGCGAUGAAGACGAACGUCCAGCCGACAUAGCCGGUGGUAACCCCGCCUGCUGUCUCGGGGUAUAAGGAACUGAUGCCGAGGUAGGCGCAGAUGAACCCCAGCUCGGGCACUCCCGUGACAUGUGCCCGGGCUGGCCGCACCUGAAGCACUUUCCCUCGCGCUGCGGGCAUACCGGCGGUCGAUGAUCGCCGCCGCAAAUAACACAACGGAACGGCCUGCCACUCCUCGACUGCUGUCGGGGAUACCGAGGGGGUUUCUUUGCAUUUGACCGGCCCCCGGUACCGCCCGCCGCCCGCUUCUUCCCCUUGUCCCUUGACUCCGCCAUUGCCUCGCGCUCCUCUCGCACGUGGGCGCUGCCGUGCUCCGCCCACAGGGCUCGAUCAAAGACCUCCGCAAAGGUCGUCAACUUGAGGAUUUGCACCCUCUUGUAGAUCCUCGGCUGGAGUCCUCGUAAGAACCAGUCAGCACGGUCCCGGUCGUCAAGAACAACCUCCGGGACGCAGUCGAUAAGGUGGGAGAACUCCUGCUCGUAAUCCACCAUGGAGCGGUCCCCCUGUCGCAACUUGCGGAAUUUCUCUUGCAACUUCCGCUUCACCGUAUCGGGGUAGUUGGCAAACACCGCCCUCCGGAACUCCUCCCACAUCAUAGGCGAAAGAUCGAACGAUCGAUCCCGCCUAACACGCUUCCACCACACCUUCACCGCCUUCUCGAGGCAAUGUGUGGCGAGGUACACCUUAUCCCUCUCCAAGGUGUUAAGAUUCUCAAAGAGUGUCUCCAUGGAGUCGAUCCAUGACUCCACGAUCGCCGGCUCCACCACUCCACCUUCGAAGGUAGGUGGGUUAAACUUCUGAAACUGAAUGAGAGCUGCCAACGUGCGCUCCCGCUCCGCCUCCUCCGCCGCACUAUCGGGAUUUGAAGUCCCCGAUCCCGCCGGCACCAUCGUAACUGGCACGGCCGCUGCGGCCACACCCUCAGCGGCACUCGGCACCACAGCAGGAGGCGCAGGGUGCACGGCCUCCCCGGGUGUCGCCGCCGCCGAUGCCCGUUGCCGCUCCAAAGCCUCCUGAAGCCUCUAGAUCUGCUCCCCUUGGCACUGAACGGACUCCGCCUGCUGCCGCACUACGCCAAUAAGUGCGGCCAUCUGCUCCCGAAGCUCCCCGUCGCCACCUGCUCCGGGUUGCACGGGAGCCGCAUUUGGCUCCUCGGCCAUAGACCUCGUCCGUGGUCGACCACGAGGCAACUUAGGUCGUCCACGAGGCGGCAU
Molecule: long non-coding RNA, 12383 nt
Filed under: Ananas comosus (pineapple)
Lineage: Eukaryota; Viridiplantae; Streptophyta; Magnoliopsida; Poales; Bromeliaceae
Description: long non-coding RNA (ACOM_LNC021188)
Source: RNAcentral